Non-coding RNA from Pelobates cultripes (western spadefoot toad), 436 nucleotides. Lineage: Eukaryota; Metazoa; Chordata; Amphibia; Anura; Pelobatidae. The record is from the annotation of a GenBank genome assembly.
UGGAUAAGUAAGAUAUAGGUAUGAAUAGAGAGAAAAUAAAAAAGUCUAAUUUCAAUUCCACUUGGCUAUAAGAAGAUCAUAAAUACCCAGAACCAUAAGCAGAGUUAAAACUAACUUUGACUUACGUAAUAUAACACAUCUCUUUUUGCAAGUAGAAGUUUAUUGCAAAAUAGCAAUACAAUGAAUAGUGAGAACAAACUAGAGGUUGUAUGAUGGUUAAACAAAGACACGGAGUUCUCACAUUGCAAAUGAGGUGCAGGCCAAAAAGGAACAGGAGUUGCGAGCUGAACAAGUUCCUGGUUCAAGAAACAGGGAUCCCUAAGGGGAAAAAGAAAGGGUGAAGAACACCUACCUGCACCUCAAUCCAAUAAUCUUGCCGAAAUGGACCGGGUUACCCUGCAGAUAGACCAUCAUUUUAUCUGUUGUCAAAAUGUAC